GACAGAGGUGCCAAGCGUUAGGCGGAAUCACUGGGCUUAAAGCGUGUGUAGGCGGACUUGUAAGUACCUUGUGAAAUCCCACAGCUCAACUGUGGAACUGCUUGGUAUACUGCUUGUCUUGAGCCACUUAGGGGCUACCGGAACAAAUGGUGGAGCGGUGAAAUGCGUAGAUAUCAUUUGGAACGCCAAUGGUGAAAACAGGUAGCUGGGAGUGUGCUGACGCUGAGACACGAAAGCCAGGGGAGCGAACGGG
RNAcentral lists this ribosomal RNA (253 nucleotides) under uncultured bacterium. RNAcentral describes it as "partial 16S ribosomal RNA". It matches the Rfam family "Bacterial small subunit ribosomal RNA", at positions 524 to 776 of the family's 1533-position model. The record is from RNAcentral.